RNAcentral lists this ribosomal RNA (1242 nucleotides) under metagenome. Its description in RNAcentral is "bacterial LSU rRNA". It matches the Rfam family "Bacterial large subunit ribosomal RNA", at positions 1564 to 2815 of the family's 2925-position model. The record is from RNAcentral.
UGAAUACGAGACGCUAAGGCGUCGAAGUAGUGUAUGUCAUACUUCCAAGAAAAGCUUGCACUGUCAUAAGUAAAAAAUGCCUGUACCAUAACCGACACAGGUGGGUAGGUAGAGUAUACUAAGGGGCGCGAGAUAACUCUCUCUAAGGAACUCGGCAAAAUAACUCCGUAACUUCGGGAGAAGGAGUACCUUAUUCUAUAAGGUUGCAAUAACAAGAUCCAAGCAACUGUUUAUCAAAAACACAGGUCUCCGCUAAGUCGUAAGACGAUGUAUGGGGGCUGACGCCUGCCCAGUGCCAGAAGGUUAAAGAAGUCGGUUAGCAUUAGCGAAGCUGGUAACUGAAGCCCUGGUGAACGGCGGCCGUAACGAUAACGGUCCUAAGGUAGCGAAAUUCCUCGUCGGGUAAGUUCCGACCCGCACGAAAGGCGUAAUGAUUUGGAUACUGUCUCGGAGAGGGGCUCGGUGAAAUAGACUUGUCUGUGAAGAUGCGGACUACCUGCACCAGGACAGAAAGACCCUAUGAAGCUUUACUGUAACUUGAAAUUGAAAUUGGACUUUAUUCGCGCAGUAUAGGUGGGAGGUGUUGAUUAUAAUCUUGCGGGAUUAUUGGAGCCAUCAGUGAGAUACCACUCUUGUAAUGUUAGAUUUCUAACUUUGAAUCAUUAUCUGGUCAAAGGACAGUUUCAGGCGGGCAGUUUGACUGGGGCGGUCGCCUCCCAAACGGUAACGGAGGCGUACAAAGGUUUCCUCUGAACGGGUAGAAAUCGUAUCUAGAGUGUAAAGGCAUAAGGAAGCUUGACUGUGAGACCUACAAGUCGAACAGGGACGAAAGUCGGUCUUAGUGAUCUGACGGUACUGAGUGGAAAGGCCGUCACUCAACGGAUAAAAGUUACUCUAGGAUAACAGGCUGAUCUCCCCCAAGAGUUCACAUCGACGGGGAGGUUUGGCACCUCGAUGUCGGCUCAUCGCAUCCUGGGGCGGUAGUACGUCCCAAGGGUUGGGCUGUUCGCCCAUGAAAGCGGUACGCGAGCUGGGUUCAGAACGUCGUGAGACAGUUCGGUCCAUAUCCGGUGUAGGCGUUAGAAUAUUGAGAGGAGCCUUCUUUAGUACGAGAGGACCGAGAAGGACAUACCUCUGGUGUACCAGUUAUCGUGCCAACGGUAAACGCUGGGUAGCUAUGUAUGGAGUGGAUAACCGCUGAAAGCAUCUAAGUGGGAAGCCCACCUCAAGAUAAGUAUUCUC